RNAcentral lists this unclassified non-coding RNA (322 nucleotides) under Hevea brasiliensis (rubber tree). Lineage: Eukaryota; Viridiplantae; Streptophyta; Magnoliopsida; Malpighiales; Euphorbiaceae. The record is from RNAcentral.
AGAAGAAGAAGAAGAAGAAGAGAACCAUCAAUUAUAAUUGAUUAGUACUCCUUAUUUAGCCCAUAAUAUGAGACCAAGUUGCAGAAAGACAUGUGAAGGAGCCAGAUUCAGAGGAACUGAAUUCUCCUGUCGCAAUAAAAUUAGAGAGAGAAAAAUAGACAACGAGUACAUGCAAGAAGCAGGAAGCUCUCACCUCAUUUCAGGGGUGAGGUUGCCCCGCAAGAACAAUAGUGGAAUUACAGGCAUAGGUCCCUGGCCUUUUUCUGAAGAGAUCUGAGGCGGGUUUUAUCUUUCAAGGCAGUUCAUCAAAAAUCAAAAAUUU